GGAUCCAGACUUUGAUUAUGGCUCAGGAUGAACGCUAGCUACAGGCUUAACACAUGCAAGUCGAGGGGAAACGACAUCGAAAGCUUGCUUUUGAUGGGCGUCGACCGGCGCACGGGUGAGUAACGCGUAUCCAACCUGCCCACCACUUGGGGAUAACCUUGCGAAAGUAAGACUAAUACCCAAUGAUAUCUCUAGAAGACAUCUGAAAGAGAUUAAAGAUUUAUCGGUGAUGGAUGGGGAUGCGUCUGAUUAGCUUGUUGGCGGGGUAACGGCCCACCAAGGCGACGAUCAGUAGGGGUUCUGAGAGGAAGGUCCCCCACAUUGGAACUGAGACACGGUCCAAACUCCUACGGGAGGCAGCAGUGAGGAAUAUUGGUCAAUGGACGAGAGUCUGAACCAGCCAAGUAGCGUGCAGGAUGACGGCCCUAUGGGUUGUAAACUGCUUUUAUAAGGGAAUAAAGUGAGUCUCGUGAGACUUUUUGCAUGUACCUUAUGAAUAAGGACCGGCUAAUUCCGUGCCAGCAGCCGCGGUAAUACGGAAGGUCCGGGCGUUAUCCGGAUUUAUUGGGUUUAAAGGGAGCGUAGGCCGGAGAUUAAGCGUGUUGUGAAAUGUAGACGCUCAACGUCUGCACUGCAGCGCGAACUGGUUUCCUUGAGUACGCACAAAGUGGGCGGAAUUCGUGGUGUAGCGGUGAAAUGCUUAGAUAUCACGAAGAACUCCGAUUGCGAAGGCAGCUCACUGGAGCGCAACUGACGCUGAAGCUCGAAAGUGCGGGUAUCGAACAGGAUUAGAUACCCUGGUAGUCCGCACGGUAAACGAUGGAUGCCCGCUGUUGGUCUGAAUAGGUCAGCGGCCAAGCGAAAGCAUUAAGCAUCCCACCUGGGGAGUACGCCGGCAACGGUGCAACUCAAAUGAAUUGACG
RNAcentral lists this ribosomal RNA (923 nucleotides) under uncultured Bacteroidota bacterium. Its description in RNAcentral is "bacterial SSU rRNA". It matches the Rfam family "Bacterial small subunit ribosomal RNA", at positions 1 to 915 of the family's 1533-position model. Lineage: Bacteria; Pseudomonadati; Bacteroidota. The record is from RNAcentral.